UGGGGAAUAUUGGACAAUGGGCGAAAGCCUGAUCCAGCCAUGCCGCGUGUGUGAAGAAGGCCUUAUGGUUGUAAAGCACUUUAAGUGGGGAGGAAAAGCUUAUGGAUAACACCCAUAGGUUCUGACGUUACCCACAGAAUAAGCACCGGCUAACUCUGUGCCAGCAGCCGCGGUAAUACAGAGGGUGCAAGCGUUAAUCGGAAUUACUGGGCGUAAAGCGAGCGUAGGUGGUUUAUUAAGUCAGAUGUGAAAUCCCUGGGCUUAACCUAGGAACUGCAUCUGAUACUGAUAAACUAGAGUAGGCGAGAGGAAAGUAGAAUUCCAGGUGUAGCGGUGAAAUGCGUAGAGAUCUGGAGGAAUACCGAUGGCGAAGGCAGCUUUCUGGCAUCAUACUGACACUGAGGUUCGAAAGCGUGGGUAGCAAACAGGAUUAGAUACCCUGGUAGUCCACGCCGUAAACGAUGUCUACCAGUCGUUGGGUCUUUUAAAGGCUUAGUGACGCAGUUAACGCGAUAAGUAGACCGCCUGGGGAGUACGGCCGCAAGGUUG
This 549-nucleotide ribosomal RNA is filed under the name uncultured bacterium. Its description in RNAcentral is "bacterial SSU rRNA". It matches the Rfam family "Bacterial small subunit ribosomal RNA", at positions 355 to 896 of the family's 1533-position model. The record is from RNAcentral.